Non-coding RNA from Schistosoma mattheei, 34 nucleotides. The record is from Rfam. Lineage: Eukaryota; Metazoa; Platyhelminthes; Trematoda; Strigeidida; Schistosomatidae.
CUGAGGAGUCCCAAAAUAGGACGAAACGGCCGUC